This 465-nucleotide ribosomal RNA is filed under the name uncultured bacterium. RNAcentral's name for it is "partial 16S ribosomal RNA". It matches the Rfam family "Bacterial small subunit ribosomal RNA", at positions 338 to 795 of the family's 1533-position model. The record is from RNAcentral.
CCUACGGGUGGCAGCAGUGGGGAAUAUUGCGCAAUGGGCGAAAGCCUGACGCAGCGACGCCGCGUGAGGGAUGAAGGUCUUCGGAUCGUAAACCUUUUUCAGCAGGGAAGCACGGUCACUGAGCUAAUCAGCAGUGACUUGACGUUACCUGCAAAGGAAGCACCGGCUCACUCCGUCCACGCCGCCGAGGUAAUACGGAGGAUGCGUGCGUUAAUCGGAAUGAUUGGGCGUAAAGCCGGCGGGGGCGGUAUGUCAAGUCAAGGGUGAAAUCCCCGCGCUCAACGUGGGAACUGCCGUUGAAACUGGCAAACUGGAGUGUGAGAGAGGAUAGUGGAAUUCCAGGUGGAGGAGUGAAAUCCGUAGAUAUCUGGAGGAACAUCAGUGGCGAAGGCGACUAUCUGGCACAUAACUGACGCUGAGGAGCGAAAGCGUGGGUAGCAAACAGGAUUAGAUACCCUUGUAGUC